Molecule: ribosomal RNA, 371 nt
Filed under: uncultured organism
Description: bacterial SSU rRNA
Rfam family: Bacterial small subunit ribosomal RNA
Source: RNAcentral
CGGAGGGGGCUAGCGUUAUUCGGAAUUAUUGGGCGUAAAGGGCGCGUAGGCGGCUCGAUGUGUCCCAGGUGAAAUCCCUCGGCUCAACUGAGGAACUGCCUUGGAAACUGUCGAGCUUGAGGCCGGAGGGGGUAGCGGAAUUCCCAGUGUAGCGGUGAAAUGCGUAGAUAUUGGGAGGAACACCAGUGGCGAAGGCGGCUACCUGGACCGGUUCUGACGCUGAUGCGCGAAAGCGUGGGUAGCAAACAGGAUUAGAUACCCUGGUAGUCCACGCUGUAAACGAUGGGUGCUCGGUGUCGCGGGUAUCGACCCCUGCGGUGCCUUAGCUAACGCGUUAAGCACCCCGCCUGGGGAGUACGGUCGCAAGGCUG